Molecule: ribosomal RNA, 283 nt
Filed under: Clostridioides difficile
Lineage: Bacteria; Bacillati; Bacillota; Clostridia; Peptostreptococcales; Peptostreptococcaceae
Description: partial 23S ribosomal RNA
Rfam family: Bacterial large subunit ribosomal RNA
Source: RNAcentral
UCCUUGGGAUACCACCCUUGUAGUACUGGGACUCUAACCAUAGGCCAUGAAUCUGUCUUGGGACACUGUCAGGUGGCAGUUUGACUGGGGCGGUCGCCUCCCAAAAGGUAACGGAGGCGCUCAAAGGUUCUCUCAGUACGGUCGGAAAUCGUACGUAGAGUGUAAAGGCAAAAGAGAGCUUGAUUGCAAGACAUACAGGUCGAGCAAGGAUGAAAAUCGGACUUAGUGAUCCGGUGGUUCUGCGUGGAAGGGCCAUCGCUCAACGGAUAAAAGCUACCCUGGG